This 774-nucleotide ribosomal RNA is filed under the name uncultured Neocallimastigales. Its description in RNAcentral is "partial large subunit ribosomal RNA". It matches the Rfam family "Eukaryotic large subunit ribosomal RNA", at positions 23 to 637 of the family's 3401-position model. Lineage: Eukaryota; Fungi; Neocallimastigomycota; Neocallimastigomycetes; Neocallimastigales. The record is from RNAcentral.
ACACGCAUGACACACUGCAUAUCAAUAAGCGGAGGAAAAGAAACUAACAAGGAUUCCCCUAGUAACGGCGAGUGAAGCGGGGAGAGCUCAAAUUUGAAAUCUUCAAGGUUUUACCUUGACGAAUUGUAGUUUAAAGAAGUGUUUUCUGUUGGAGUUUUGGUAAAAGUUCUUUGGAAUAGGACAUCAUAGAGGGUGAGAAUCCCGUAUUUGACUAUUCUUUCUAGCUUUGUGAUACACUUUCAAAGAGUCGGAUUGUUUGGGAAUGCAGUCCAAAAUGGGUGGUAAAUUUCAUCUAAAGCUAAAUAUUGGCGAGAGACCGAUAGCGAACAAGUACCGUGAGGGAAAGAUGAAAAGAACUUUGAAAAGAGAGUUAAACAGUACGUGAAAUUGUCAAAAGGGAAGCGUUUGACACCAGUGUUGUUUUUCCGAAAAUCAAUUACGAAUGUUUUAUUUUUGAGAAGUUAUGACUUCAUCGGCUUGCUUCUCUCUUUACGAAACUUUCUUAAUGCACUUUUCGGUUAACAAGUCAACAUCAAUUUCUUUUGUUGUAAAAGGGUAUGAGGAAGGUGGCUUUCUUUUCGGAGAAAGUGUUUAUAGCCUUGUACCUCUGCAAUCGGAGAGAUUGAGGUCUGCAGCGUAGAUCCUUCGGGGUUAGAUACAUUUGUGCUAAGUUAUAGCUUUUCAUAGACAACUUGUUGACUAUGUUAAGUCUUGUAGCUUACUCGCUUAUGCUAUUUUACCUACGCUUAGGAUGUUGAGCGCAUGUCUCUCUCU